AUGCAAAAGAAGGAGCACCCGCUUCUCACCUGAUGGACGCGCUAAGCAGUUAGCAGGUUUUGAGAUCGUUUUUUAUACUUGAACUUUCAAGAUGUGGGUGUGUGGUACAUACUCGCAUCUUUUUUUAUGA
The sequence is a regulatory RNA element, 130 nucleotides long. It matches the Rfam family "Ribosomal protein L20 leader". From Rfam's summary of the family: This family is a putative r-protein leader autoregulatory structure found in B. subtilis and other low-GC Gram-positive bacteria. It is located in the 5' untranslated regions of mRNAs encoding initiation factor 3 followed by ribosomal proteins L35 and L20 (infC-rpmI-rplT). The record is from Rfam.